AAGCGGUUCUUUAGACUUUUGUGUCACUUAGGCGGGAAAACAAGGGGAGCAACAACAUUAAAUUCCCUGGUAGUACACCCGUAAACAAGAGAAAUAGGUGUUGGGGGGGUUCCCCCUCGGUUCCGCAGCUAACUCAUUAAGUACUUCGCCUGGGAAGUACGCUCGCAAGAAUGAAUUCAAAUGAAUUGACGGGGGUCCGCCCCACUACCGGAACAUGUGGUUUAAUUUGAAACAACGCCAAGAACCUUACCUUUGCUUGACAUCACACUGGCCUCUCCAUAAUCAGAGAAUUCCCUUCCGGGACAGUGGACGCAGGUGGUCCAUGGUUGUCGUCCACUCGUGUCCUUAGAUGUUGGGGUAAGUACCCCAACGAGCGCAACCCUUCCCCUUAGUUUCCACCAUUAAGUUGGGCCCUCUAGAGGGACUUCCGAGGAUAACUCGGAGGAAGGUGGGGAUGACGUCAAAUCAUCAUGUCCCUUAUGCUUAGGGCUCCACACGUGUUUCAAUGGGUGGUACAGAGGGUUGCCAAGUCGCGCGGUGGAGCUAAUCCCUUAAAAUCAUUCUCAGUUCGGAUUGUAGGCUGAAACUCGCCUACAUGAAGCUCGAGUUACUAGUAAUCGCAGAUCAGAAUUCUGCGGUGAAUGCGUUUCCGGGUCUUGUACCCCCCCCCCAUCACACCAUGGAAGUUGGGGGCUCCCGAAACCGGUUAGAUAACCUUCAGGUAGCGUCAAAUGGUUGAAGGCA
This 744-nucleotide ribosomal RNA is filed under the name Clostridium sp. Its description in RNAcentral is "bacterial SSU rRNA". It matches the Rfam family "Bacterial small subunit ribosomal RNA", at positions 719 to 1464 of the family's 1533-position model. The record is from RNAcentral. Lineage: Bacteria; Bacillati; Bacillota; Clostridia; Eubacteriales; Clostridiaceae.